UACAGAGGGGGCAAGCGUUGUUCGGAAUUACUGGGCGUAAAGCGCGCGUAGGCGGCUCUUCAAGUCAGGCGUGAAAGCCCCGGGCUUAACUCGGGAACUGCGCUUGAUACUGUCGAGCUAGAGUGUGGAAGGGGCGAUUGGAAUUCCGUGUGUAGCGGUGAAAUGCGUAGAUAUACGGAGGAACACCAGAGGCGAAGGCGGAUCGCUGGGCCAACACUGACGCUGAUGUGCGAAAGCUAGGGGAGCAAACGGG
RNAcentral lists this ribosomal RNA (253 nucleotides) under uncultured bacterium. Its description in RNAcentral is "partial 16S ribosomal RNA". It matches the Rfam family "Bacterial small subunit ribosomal RNA", at positions 524 to 776 of the family's 1533-position model. The record is from RNAcentral.